Molecule: ribosomal RNA, 253 nt
Filed under: uncultured bacterium
Lineage: Bacteria
Description: partial 16S ribosomal RNA
Rfam family: Bacterial small subunit ribosomal RNA
Source: RNAcentral
GACGUAGGGGGCCAGCGUUGUUCGGAAUUACUGGGUGUAAAGGGUUCGUAGGCGGUGCGGCAAGUUGGGGGUGAAAUCUCUGGGCUUAACCCAGAGGCUGCUUCCAAAACUGCUGUGCUUGAGUGUGGGAGAGGCGCGUGGAAUUGCAGGUGUAGCGGUGAAAUGCGUAGAUAUCUGCAGGAACACCCGUGGCGAAAGCGGCGCGCUGGACCACUACUGACGCUGAGGAACGAAAGCCAGGGGAGCAAACGGG